Molecule: long non-coding RNA, 823 nt
Filed under: Homo sapiens (human)
Lineage: Eukaryota; Metazoa; Chordata; Mammalia; Primates; Hominidae
Description: novel transcript
Source: RNAcentral
CUCAAGAGCACAUUUUUCAAGACCAGGCAGAGGGAGGAGGCUGCGUAGGGUGGAAAUGGUGCUCUAGGCAGGCCACAGCUGGAGUAAAGCCAUGAAGAUCAGAACCAGCUGAGUUAUUCAGAGAACCACCGUGGUUUGGGUAUUGCCGGAGAGCCCAGCACAAAGAAGAGUGGAGGGAGGCUGGCUGCGGAGGCAGGUGGGGACCAGACCAUGGCCGCUUGGGAGUUUGGACCAGACACUGCUGUACAAGCCAGCCCACAGGGAGGACUGGGCAGACCUAGGCAACAAGCUGCUCUCCUCCUCUCUGGGUGACCCCAGACAGGACUCCUCACUUGUGAGAUUUUACCAGGCAACCAAAAUUGGAUGCUUAGAGCAGGAAGAAGAGUCUACAGAGGGACUCACGGGCAUUUUGGCUUUGAAUGGCCGAAGCCUAGCUCCCCAGGCUCAGGCACAAUGGUGAAUGUAUUUGCUCAUGCAACUGGGGAAUCAAGGGACACUCAUGUUCAGGAAUGGUUGGAUCCAGAGGCUCAAGCCUUCCUUUCAGGCUUCUUUCUCUCCAGCUCUCUGCUCUCUGAUGAGUCUCUCUCCACAGGGCCCCAGCCACCGAAGGCUCAAAAAAAAAAAAAAAAACAAAACAAAACCCUGCAUGGGGAGUUGUGAGAAUCUGAAGCCUGAUACUGCACAGAAAACCUAUGAAGCCACUGGGUCUGGCCUGGAAUGGAAGGCUGAGUGAAUGUGGGAAAAAAUUUUCAAGUGGGAAAAAUGAAACCAAUAAGAUUUUUAAAAAUACAGUCGGUUAUGUAUGUGUGGGUUCUGAGGAUCG